AUACAAGGUUUCAUUGCUCUCCGCAUUUAGUCAGAUCUACUGAUUUACAGUUUUAACUCGACUUCUUCUCCUUUCAAUUUUCAAGCGUUACACCCAUUUCCAGCACCAUAAUUUCUGCUAAUCAAUUUCCCAUCAUAUGUUACGAAUAAAAAAAGAUCCCCAUUAACGGCUCCAUUAAGUCUGCUAAUCAAUCCCUGAAGCUCCCAUUACAUAAACCUCAAGAGAGGAAAGAUGUUAUCUUCCAAAGGUUUUGAAUUUCUUUUCAUACCAUGCUUUCUCACACUCUAUUUUUGUUGGUAGAGGACAUAUUGAGAAAAGAACCAGCAUCCAUCUCAGCAAGAACAUGAUGAGGAUCAAGGAAGUUGAGCCAAUUAUGUGUAAUGAUUGUGUUGAAAAGGAUGGCAAUAUUCAUUUUCAAUGCCUGAAUCUUACUGUGUUAGGAUUUUGCUGACAAAAUUAGUGAUUGUUGUCGCAAGUGGAAAACAUUUUAGGAUGACAAAUGUCUUCUAUCCCGUAAUGGUACUAUAAGAAAAUGCAACAUGGGAUAGCGAGUGACACAAAUUUUAAAAAUUACUUGACGGAGGUGUAUGCAGUUUAUUUAUAUAGUAGCUGGGAGGGACUAUGGAAAUCAUAUAAGGCUAUGGUUAAAAACCCUGUUACUCUAUCUGGAAUGGGCUCAACUGACCACAAAAAAAAAAAAAAAUCACUUCAUGUUACAAUUUUUAUAAUGUUGUCAGCUGUUGUUUGGCAUCUUUUGUUGCCAUAUGUUGUAGUAUUUCAUCAUUUAGAGUAGUGGAACAUACAUAUUUUUUGUAUUUGGUAGGUUCUUAUACUUUGUUUAUUUGCAUUAACGGGUAAUGCGACGGAUCCUCUUGACCAAGAUGGGAGUAACAAAUCCAUCUACUGGCUAAAGAUAUUUAUUUGCGUAUGUAUAUUUUGUGAUGAUAGUUUCGAUUUUGUUUAUUAUGCAGGUGAUAUUCAUUUUGUGUAUCAGUAGAAGAAAGGUCUUUUCAAAACAAUGGGAAGCAGCUAGAUGUUAGACCACUUGCUAAAGAUGAUUCAAAAGCAAGAAUACGUUAGAAAUGCUUGGUUUUAUUCCACCUUUUAUUGGCAUGCUAGAUUCAAGUAAUCUUCAUUAAGCAAGAAUACUUUAGAAAAGCUUGAAUGAGUAAUCUUCAUUCUCAGAUCGCUUCACUUCAUGCUCUUCUAAAUCUUGGAAUUGGUACGACAUAUAAUUAUCCCAUUUCUAACAUAUUUAGGUGCCGGAGGUGAAUCUACAAUCACGCUACUGAACAAAGAGAUUACAAAAUCCACAUGGAUGUUCCCCAGACAUGACACCCAGGCGUAACAAAAAGUUGUUGUAAUAGGAGCCACACACUAUAUCAUAGGUGCAACCUUUUCCGGUGGAAAUAGAAAAAAGCUUUCUUAUGAUUUGUUGUUGUGACAGAACUCAGCCUCCGUAUUGAUUGCAUUCUAGAGACUUUACCCAUUCUUUGUGCCAUAUAUUGAGCUUUUGGUAGUCUUUAUGAAGAUGUGACGCUUACAUUAGACUUAUGGCUGCUGCACUACACCAAUCGUACCUGGAUAUUGCGAAAAAGUUGUUCAACUAAUACCAACACGUCAUUGACUACUUCCAGGUCAUAGAAAACAACUCAAGAUGUUAUCUCAAGUUACCCGCGUCGAAGUCCAACUCCACUUUAGUGUGGUGAAUUGGUAUUUCUCAACAUUUUAUCACAGACAGCGUUUGCAACGGCUGUGCAAUGCUGGAGCACCAGUAUAUCUGAGCGACAAGAUUUUUUGUCACUGACUAUUGACAUGGUUUCCAGGGUACGUAGUUUAUCAAGUCAAGAAAUAGUAAAUAAUGGAAGAGCACCACACAAGCAGAACCAGAUUUCUUCAUGGGAGCAUAUUUGCCUUUUUAAUUGAGAUAGAAAGGUUCUGUAACGAUUUCUAUUUUUCUUUUCAACACAUUGAACCAAAUACACGAGUCAAUGCAACUAUACAAGAGUAUCCAUCUCUGUUUUGCAAACCCCUUCUUCUUGGUGUGUUGUAUUCAUUUACCUGAUCACUGGAAGUAUUGAAUUAAGUAGUGUUGCAGUAA
Long non-coding RNA from Papaver somniferum (opium poppy), 2101 nucleotides. RefSeq lists it as uncharacterized. The transcript is spliced from 9 exons. NCBI's taxonomy places the organism in Eukaryota, Viridiplantae, Streptophyta, Magnoliopsida, Ranunculales, Papaveraceae. The record is from RefSeq and is a predicted model, not a curated record.